This 460-nucleotide ribosomal RNA is filed under the name uncultured bacterium. RNAcentral's name for it is "partial 16S ribosomal RNA". It matches the Rfam family "Bacterial small subunit ribosomal RNA", at positions 338 to 795 of the family's 1533-position model. The record is from RNAcentral.
CCUACGGGAGGCAGCAGUGAGGAAUAUUGGUCAAUGGGCUUACGCCUGAACCAGCCAAGUCGCGUGAGGGAAGACUGCCCUAUGGGUUGUAAACCUCUUUUGUCAGGGAGCAAUUGGCGCUACGUGUAGCGUUAUCGAGAGUACCUGAAGAAAAAGCAUCGGCUAACUCCGUGCCAGCAGCCGCGGUAAUACGGAGGAUGCGAGCGUUAUCCGGAUUUAUUGGGUUUAAAGGGUGCGCAGGCGGAGGUGCAAGUCAGCGGUCAAAUUGCGGGGCUCAACCCCGUACUGCCGUUGAAACUGCAUCCCUUGAGUGCGCGAGAAGUAUGCGGAAUGCGUGGUGUAGCGGUGAAAUGCAUAGAUAUCACGCAGAACUCCGAUUGCGAAGGCAGCAUACCGGCGCGCAACUGACACUGAGGCUCGAAAGUGUGGGUAUCAAACAGGAUUAGAUACCCCAGUAGUC